This 253-nucleotide ribosomal RNA is filed under the name uncultured prokaryote. Its description in RNAcentral is "partial 16S ribosomal RNA". It matches the Rfam family "Bacterial small subunit ribosomal RNA", at positions 524 to 776 of the family's 1533-position model. The record is from RNAcentral.
UACGAAGGGUGCUAGCGUUGUUCGGAAUCACUGGGCGUAAAGCGCACGUAGGCGGCUUUGCAAGUCAGAGGUGAAAGCCCGGGGCUCAACCCCGGAAUAGCCUUUGAGACUGCAUCGCUAGAAUUGUGGAGAGGUAAGUGGAAUUCCGAGUGUAGAGGUGAAAUUCGUAGAUAUUCGGAAGAACACCAGUGGCGAAGGCGACUUACUGGACACAUAUUGACGCUGAGGUGCGAAAGCGUGGGGAGCAAACAGG